CCUAUGGGUGGCAGCAGUGGGGAAUUUUGGACAAUGGGCGCAAGCCUGAUCCAGCUAUUCCGCGUGUGGGAUGACGGCCCUCGGGUUGUAAACCACUUUAGUAGAGAACGAAAAGGAGCUAUCGAAUAAAUAUCUCUGCUGACGGUACUCUAAGAAUAAGCACCGGCUAACUACGUGCCAGCAGCCGCGGUAAUACGUAGGGUGCGAGCGUUGAUCGGAUUUAUUGGGCGUAAAGGGUGUGCAGGCGGCUGAGUAAAUCAGAUGUGAAAUCCCCGGGCUUAACCUGAGAACCGCAUAUGUGACUGGCUGGCUAGAGUGCGGUAGAGGGAGGUGGAAUUCGACGUGUAGCAGUGAAAUGCGUAGAUAUGAGGAAGAACACCGAUGGCGAAGGCAGCCUCCUAAGACGCAACUGACACUGAUACACGAAAGCGUGGGGAGCAAACAGGAUUAGAUACCCUGGUAGUC
Molecule: ribosomal RNA, 465 nt
Filed under: uncultured bacterium
Lineage: Bacteria
Description: partial 16S ribosomal RNA
Rfam family: Bacterial small subunit ribosomal RNA
Source: RNAcentral